This 72-nucleotide transfer RNA is filed under the name Deltaproteobacteria bacterium. RNAcentral describes it as "tRNA-Asn". It matches the Rfam family "tRNA". From Rfam's summary of the family: Transfer RNA (tRNA) molecules are approximately 80 nucleotides in length. Their secondary structure includes four short double-helical elements and three loops (D, anti-codon, and T loops). Lineage: Bacteria; Pseudomonadati; Myxococcota; Myxococcia. The record is from RNAcentral.
UCCCAGGUAGCUCAGUGGCAGAGCAGGUGGCUGUUAACCACCUUGUCGCAGGUUCAAUCCCUGCCCUGGGAG